Molecule: long non-coding RNA, 636 nt
Organism: Hemibagrus wyckioides
Lineage: Eukaryota; Metazoa; Chordata; Actinopteri; Siluriformes; Bagridae
Exons: 3
Source: RefSeq, a predicted model, not a curated record
UAUACAACUACAUAGUAGGAAAAUGUAGACUGGCUUACUUUUACUCUGGUGUGUAGGGGAGGUACACGCUGGAGAAUAAAGUGCUGCUGGUGAUGGAGUAAAAGCUUGUGACUACAGGUGAUUUCCCUCCAAUUCAAGAUUUAAGAGAGCUGAACUGAUUCCUAAAAUCCAUUUCCAUGUGGUCACAGGGAGCCCAUGCUCGUGAUCUCAGGCGUCAUCGGGCAUCAAAGAAGGAUACACCCUGGACGAAGUGCCUACCCAUCGCAGGGCACACACACAUGCAAUCACACACUACAAGCAAUUUAGAAACUCCAAUCCUAGAAGCAUGUCUUUGGACUGUGGGAGGAAACCCACAAGGCAUGGGAGAACAUGCACACAAACAGUGAGCGGGAUCAAGACUCAAACCCAGGAUGCUGGAGGUGUGAGCCACCAUGCCACCUACAUUUAGUUUUGAACAUUUAAGUGCCAAAUCUUUAGUAUACUAUCCAUCAUACUAUAUAGUGCAGUAAUAUGUGGACCCAACCAAGGAAAUUCCAGAAACACCGGAACUGGAAGGUUUUAACUUAAUUACUUGAAGCACUUGGUUACUUGACUUACGUGUUCUAGGACAUACUGUAACCCACUACAGAUCAAACA